RNAcentral lists this ribosomal RNA (301 nucleotides) under uncultured bacterium. Its description in RNAcentral is "partial 16S ribosomal RNA". It matches the Rfam family "Bacterial small subunit ribosomal RNA", at positions 509 to 807 of the family's 1533-position model. The record is from RNAcentral.
CAGUAGCCGCGGGAAUACGGAGGGUGCAAGCGUUAAUCGGAAUUACUGGGCGCAAAGCGUGCGUAGGCGGUUCGUUAAGUCUGUUGUGAAAGCCCCGGGCUCAACCUGGGAAUGGCAAUGGAUACUGGCGAGCUAGAGUGUGUCAGAGGAUGGUGGAAUUCCCGGUGUAGCGGUGAAAUGCGUAGAGAUCGGGAGGAACAUCAGUGGCGAAGGCGGCCAUCUGGGACAACACUGACGCUGAGGCACGAAAGCGUGGGGAGCAAACAGGAUUAGAUACCCGCGUAGUCCCUGUCUCUUAUAC